UGGAGAAGGGGAGCACGUGCAAAACCAGAUGAACUACCAGAAGUGAGUUGGAGAGAGAUGUUGCACGUGCCCUGCUUCUCCAAC
This is a non-coding RNA of Phaseolus vulgaris (common bean), 84 nucleotides long. The record is from Rfam. NCBI's taxonomy places the organism in Eukaryota, Viridiplantae, Streptophyta, Magnoliopsida, Fabales, Fabaceae.